AGACCAAACUAAAACUGGACUUAUUGGAGGCUUUCUAAAAAUGAGAGUAAUCUCGGGGAGCAAAAUUAUAUGCUAAUAAAAACCACAAAACCCAAUUGUGGAUAUUGGUCUCCACUACAAUGAACUGUCUUCAAAGUUUUGUUUUUAAGGCUAUGUCUGCACGCCACACAGAACUCAGACCUGAUGACAUCACCAGAGAUGUUCCAACUACAGAUAAUCCAUCAGGUUGUCAUUGCUUGAUGCCAUUCCAACGAGAGCCUUACAUCUGGAAGUCUUCUCAAAUGUACGAUGGACAGAAGGGCUUCAGACAGGUGUGACACACCGGCCUCCAGGGGAGCGGCUCCUCCAAAAUCACCCGGAACACUUUUAUUACUUCUAGAGUACAACAAGAAUGCCAGCUUGUCUAACGCGUCAUCCUCUGGACAUUGCUUAUGUCACCUGCCGGGGACACCAGGCUGACCCGGACUUUGCGGAAUCCCUCUUCCCUGCAUGAAGACCCCCCUUCCCGUUUGCUCCUCCUUCCUCAGUCAGACAGGAAGAACCUCUGAGCCUUGGGAUAGGCAGGACUAUGCCCCUUGACAGCAGAAAGCAAUUACAAGAAGAUGGAGAUAUUCACCCAUUUAUCUCCUUGUAAGAUUACAAGGCUUAAGUUCUUGAAGGGAGAGAGUAAUACCACUGUGGUCAGCUAGUUAUUAGUAAUAGGACAGAAGCAAAGGGGAGGUCAGACAUUAUAGGCUUGUCAUUUGCGCAGUUUCACCAGGAAGCUGCAACUUUGCACUCCCCAGGGAGCCACUGGCCUAUUCCCUGCAUAACACUGGGGAAAGGGAUCCAACGAAGGGAAGACAGAUGCAUGUCCAGUAAAGUUGGGGUGACCUAGGAAAGAUACUUGUGUGUCAGUCACUCCGGGGGACAGAUCAUUGGCCAAAAUGAGCGUGGCCACUGCAAGCAUGCAAAUAUUUGGGAAUACACAAUCUUCUAAACA
Myotis brandtii (Brandt's bat) is the source of this 982-nucleotide long non-coding RNA. RefSeq lists it as uncharacterized. The record is from RefSeq and is a predicted model, not a curated record. Lineage: Eukaryota; Metazoa; Chordata; Mammalia; Chiroptera; Vespertilionidae. The transcript has 3 exons.